Molecule: long non-coding RNA, 826 nt
Filed under: Callithrix jacchus (white-tufted-ear marmoset)
Lineage: Eukaryota; Metazoa; Chordata; Mammalia; Primates; Cebidae
Description: lncRNA (ENSCJAG00000084766.1)
Source: RNAcentral
GAGAAAUUUGAAUUUCUUUUUUAAUAUUUUAACAUUCUCUCAGCUUGUAUCAUGUGCUCAUUCUUCUUUUUGGUUGAUGAUCUUUUUGAUUUGUAAGAGUUAUUUUUUACAAAGUAAGUUGCAUAUUUUUAUAAGUUGUUGUUAUGGUUUGUAUGUAGUUUGUCUCUGCCAAAGCUAAUGUUGAAAUUUAGUUGCCAAUGUAAUGGUCUUGGGAGGUGGGGCAUUUUAGAAGAUAGUUAGGUCAUUAAGAUGGGUUAAUGUCUUUCUCACAAAACUGGGUUAGUUCUUGCAAUAUUGGAUUCGUUCCCUUGAGAGUAGCUUGUUAUAAAGCUAGGUUGCCUUUGUGUUCUCUUUUGCACAGGCUCCCAGCCACGUGAUCUAUCCGCCAUAUUACUAUGCAGCAUGAGACUAUCGCCAGAUGCAGCUACCCAGUAUGGAAACUUCUCAGUCUCCAGAACUGUUAGGAGCUGUUUCCUUCCAUCCGUAACAAAGAGCUGAGUCAUUGAAUGGGAUCCAGAAGGGCAGGAUAGUGAAGGAGUCUUGGAAUUUAACAUCCCCCUGAAGCUGAAGAAGUUAAAGGCCCACUGCGUACUCUGAAAUCAAAAUCAUCUGUUCAGGGAGGAUGGAGACUUCCUGUGGAAAAAACAAGAUAUCUGCAGAGCAAAAUGAGGCAGCUGAUAAUAUCGUUAUUUCUGGCCAUCUCAAACAGAAAUCUACAUUGGCAAUCAAACUCAACCUGUUUCUUAGACCUCUGGAUCUUAUUCUCUGCUCCUCAAACACAUCGCAGAGAAGAAUAUACACACAGAAGGUGAUGGGAGCAAAUUGA